Molecule: long non-coding RNA, 739 nt
Filed under: Equus caballus (horse)
Lineage: Eukaryota; Metazoa; Chordata; Mammalia; Perissodactyla; Equidae
Description: lncRNA (ENSECAG00000054957.1)
Source: RNAcentral
ACCGGGUUCACCUUACGUUGUGCAAUUAGCUGUGUUUUGAAGAACCGUAGCAAUGUCUGGUUGGAAUGCACCUCCCACCCAAUAUAAGAAUCCUUUCAACAGUGUUCCCAGGAGAUGGUCAAACAAUCCUUGCUUUAACUCCUGAAAAUACACAGGGGAAGCUUGUUCCUCUAACUGUGAUACCCUCUGCAGAGCAAGAAUAAUUUUGGAAAAAGAAUAAUCCUUUCAUCUUACAGCACAGCCGAAGCCCGGGAUGCGUGGCCAAAGGAAGAAGGAGCAAGAGAUGAUGAAGGAGGAAUAGAGUCCUGAGUGAGCACCUACAAUGCACUAGACACCAGGAACAGAUUCAGAGGAUUUGUAGGCGAAGCACCAAGGCAACCUUCUGACUGGGGAUCUUAUGACACAGAUGUUGAUACACGGAAUGUGCAAGUGUGGAAGAUUCUCGCUGGACUGCGAUGCCUCCAUCCAACACGUAUUUAUUGCUCCGUCGGUGUGUGCAGGUCUGGAGGCCAGAGAUCAAGGUGUCGGCGGGCCGUGCUCCCACCGAACCUGUGGUGGGGCCCUACGAAGAGAGACGCCAGGGAUUCACGUACACAGAGAAAAGACCAUGUGAGGACACGGUGAGAAGGUGGCUAUCUGCAAGCCAAGGAGAGAGGACUCAAGAGAAAGCAGCCCUGCGGACACCUAUCUUGGACUUCUAGGCUCCAGAACUGAGAAAAUAAAUUUCUUUUAAGCCCCC